RNAcentral lists this ribosomal RNA (425 nucleotides) under Tingidae gen. 1 sp. t RS-2018. Its description in RNAcentral is "partial large subunit ribosomal RNA". The stretch from base 300 to 425 matches the Rfam family "Archaeal large subunit ribosomal RNA", at positions 2542 to 2668 of the family's 2987-position model. Lineage: Eukaryota; Metazoa; Arthropoda; Insecta; Hemiptera; Tingidae. The record is from RNAcentral.
AUUUGUCUUUUAAUUAAGGUCUAGAAUGAAUGGUUGAACGAGAAACUAACUUUUUUAAUUAAAUUUUUAUGAAUUUUAUUUUUUAGUAAAAAAGCUAAAAUUUAUUUAUGUGACGAUAAGACCCUAUAAAAUUUUAUUUUCAUGUUUUUAUUUAUUUAUUAGUUAAUAUGAUUUUUUUAAUUAUAUUGAGAAUUUGGUUGGGGCGAUUAUUUUAUUUUUUUAACUAUAAUUUUUAUUAAUUCAUUAAUUUAUGAAUUAUUGAUCCUAAAUUUUAGAUUAUAAGAAUAAAUUACUUUAGGGAUAACAGCGUAAUUUUCUUGGAGAGUUCUUAUUAAUAAGAAAGAUUGCGACCUCGAUGUUGGAUUAAAAUAAAGUUAUGGUGUAGAAGCUGUUAUUUUAAGUCUGUUCGACUUUUAAAAUUUUAC